This 253-nucleotide ribosomal RNA is filed under the name uncultured bacterium. Its description in RNAcentral is "partial 16S ribosomal RNA". It matches the Rfam family "Bacterial small subunit ribosomal RNA", at positions 524 to 776 of the family's 1533-position model. The record is from RNAcentral.
UACGGGGGGGGCAAGCGUUGUUCGGAAUUACUGGGCGUAAAGGGCUCGUAGGCGGCCAACUAAGUCAGACGUGAAAUCCCUCGGCUUAACCGGGGAACUGCGUCUGAUACUGGAUGGCUUGAGUUUGGGAGAGGGACGCGGAAUUCCAGGUGUAGCGGUGAAAUGCGUAGAUAUCUGGAGGAACACCGGUGGCGAAGGCGGCAUCCUGGACCGGUAUUGACGCUGAGGCGCGAAAGCCAGGGGAGCGAACGGG